GUAUGUGAGGGCUAUCUGGCUGUGACAUCUGUCACCCCAUUGAUUGACAGGGUUGAUUUGGCUGAUCUGGCUGGCUAGGUGGGUGUCCACUUCCUCCCUCACUGCUCCAUAUGCAUCCCUCCCAAAGCUGUGUGCUUGGUCGAAGAGGAAAACCUUCCCCAAAUAGAGGAGGACUAGUCUUUGGUCAAGGGUAUACGAGUAGGUGCACUCCCUUGCUAGAACCUCCAAACAAGCUCUCACGGUUGUUUGAUUUUUCUAUUGUUUAGUAUUUUGACUUAUUUGUAGAUUUUAGAUAUUAGGCUUUUGUCAGUGGUAGAGCUGACAAAGAUU
This 330-nucleotide small nuclear RNA is filed under the name Jaculus jaculus (lesser Egyptian jerboa). RNAcentral's name for it is "7SK RNA (ENSJJAG00000007981.1)". It matches the Rfam family "7SK RNA". From Rfam's summary of the family: 7SK was discovered as an abundant small nuclear RNA in the mid-70s but a possible function has only recently been suggested. The record is from Rfam by way of RNAcentral. Lineage: Eukaryota; Metazoa; Chordata; Mammalia; Rodentia; Dipodidae.